CAUAUAAUAUUAGGUGGUUAUAAUGUUUUGCUAGAAACCGCUGAUAAUCUAUGAAUUGAAAAUUCAUUGCUGAUAUUAUAUGAUCCUAUAGGGUCACACACCUAACCAAAUUGGAUCAAAUAAUAGUUGGUUUUAAUAUAGAUUAAAAUCAAUAUUGGGUUUAUGAAUAAUCAUAUAUAUAUAUGAUAUAUGUAAUCUUAUAAUGUGCAUGUUAAUAUAUUAACGUAAUGGGUGGACGUGGGUGCAAACUAAUAAUUGGCCCAGCCCAUCCCGUGUGACCUAACGUAGGUUCAACGUCUUUAUAUAUAUAUACAUGUUAUAAGAUUAAGUAACGAGUGGAGUUUUGGGCAGCCGCUAAUCUCACGUAAACCUAAACCACAAAAUGACGAAUAGUUCGUCAAGCUUUUUAGAGAUUUGAUCUCGACGGCACUAGCAUCCCGUAUCGAUCCAGUUUGUGUGCGUGUGGAUACCGGUAGAGGCACGACGUUUGGAGUGCUUGAAAUCUCGACUUGGUUUAUUCAUCUUUCCGCUGCGAUUAAUCAGAAUAAGCUUCCUUAGAAAAAAACGUUCGUCUCUCUCUCAAAAUGUUUUGAUAACAUGAUGAAACAUGAUCCAUCAACACAGAUGGUUGAAGACAAGGUUUGCAUGUCGAAUCCAAUGAAUGAUCUGAUUAAUCGGUUAGUUCUGUUUGUCUCGUAUAUGUCUGAAGAGAUCUGAAAAAGUAUCCCUCAAGACAAAACGAAGAACUGGAGUUAAAGGAUCAAGAAACAUCAAUCACUUCAGGCCAUGCAGUGACAUUUUUAUAGGCAGAGCUUUAUUCAUGUGACUCUAACCAAUAUCACAAAACAACAAAGCUGAGAAAAAGAUAAGUUUUCAUACAAUGGCAUAAAAAUUUCAACGCUUACAAUAACUAUAAUAUAUUUAAUAUCUGUAAAAUCUAAAUUUAACUAAUAUUUUUUUCGUAAUUUUACAGUCAAAGUCUACACGUAUGAUGAUGAAAGUUAUGAAGCUAAGUCCAACCAAGUCCAACCAAAUCCAUAGCUAUACACAGAGAAAAAAAAUCAAGAUGUGUGGAUUACUUUCAAUUGGAUGUACCAAUCAGUUCUGUUAGGUUUCAGUUUUGAAAGAUACAAUAAAAACUCUCUCUCUCUCAUGGAAUCAAGAAGAAGCAAAUCUCGUUGGAGGUGCUUCCAUGGUUAGUUGUUCACAGUGACGAAACGUUAGAGGCACUGCCGGCACUGCCGGUCCGAAUAUAAAUUGCGCCUAAUACGCAUACAAAAAAUGUUGCCCUCAUAUAUAAUUAUUUAAUAUUUAAAGUAUGUAAUAAAAAUCAAAAUAUUGUUAAAGACUAUAUCUUUCCAAAGCAAAAAACACCUCAGUAUAUUAUUCAUGUAACCACAGAGAGUUUUAUGCCUUAUGUUUGUUUGUAUUUCAAAAUUUUCCAAAAAUAUUAUAAUUUACGAAAAGAAAAAAAAAGAAAAAAGAAAACAAAACUUAGACAGGUAGCAGUUCAAAAAAAAAAAAAAACUUACACA
Brassica napus (rape) is the source of this 1535-nucleotide long non-coding RNA. RefSeq lists it as uncharacterized. NCBI's taxonomy places the organism in Eukaryota, Viridiplantae, Streptophyta, Magnoliopsida, Brassicales, Brassicaceae. The transcript has 6 exons. The record is from RefSeq and is a predicted model, not a curated record.